RNAcentral lists this non-coding RNA (22 nucleotides) under Rattus norvegicus (Norway rat). Lineage: Eukaryota; Metazoa; Chordata; Mammalia; Rodentia; Muridae. The record is from RNAcentral.
UGCCUGAGGCUCUGCCCACAGU